GGGCCCGCACAAGCGGUGGAGCAUGUGGUUUAAUUCGAUGAUACGCGAGGAACCUUACCAGGGCUUAAAUGUAGUCUGACAGAUUUGGAAACAGAUUUUUCUUCGGACAGAUUACAAGGUGCUGCAUGGUUGUCGUCAGCUCGUGCCGUGAGGUGUCAGGUUAAGUCCUAUAACGAGCGCAACCCCUGUGGUUAGUUGCCAGCGAGUCAAGUCGGGAACUCUAGCCAGACUGCCGGUGCAAACCGUGAGGAAGGUGGGGAUGACGUCAAAUCAUCACGGCCCUUACGUCCUGGGCCACACACGUGCUACAAUGGUAGGUACAGAGAGCAGCCACGUCGCAAGGCGGAGCGAAUCUCAAAAAGCCUAUCGUAGUCCAGAUUGGAGUCUGCAACUCGACUCCAUGAAGUAGGAAUCGCUAGUAAUCG
This 425-nucleotide ribosomal RNA is filed under the name uncultured bacterium. RNAcentral's name for it is "bacterial SSU rRNA". It matches the Rfam family "Bacterial small subunit ribosomal RNA", at positions 917 to 1344 of the family's 1533-position model. The record is from RNAcentral.